Long non-coding RNA from Nerophis lumbriciformis (worm pipefish), 3600 nucleotides. RefSeq lists it as uncharacterized. The record is from RefSeq and is a predicted model, not a curated record. Lineage: Eukaryota; Metazoa; Chordata; Actinopteri; Syngnathiformes; Syngnathidae.
UUAGUCUUAAAAGUUCACUUUUUAGGUGUGUGUUUACAUGUUGGCGCAAUGAGACGUAAGGCGGUGGCUAGCAUGCUAGCUAGCCUAGCAUUAGCUGGUUGAAUAAACUUGUUUACUCUAUUUAAACUCUUUACUCGGCAGUACUUACAUAACAGGACAGAUAAAUGUAUCGCCAAUACCUCUCAGACUCUUGGAAUUCUUUAUGUUUUUGCUGUGACAAGAAGUCUUUUCACUGAAUUACUGCAGGAAUGUGUGAGCUCUGCUUGAACUUUGACCUGCAAGGACUCCUCCAAAAGUCUCACAAAUGACGUCACACAAUCACAGAUUUGGCUAUUUGGAUAUUCUGUUGCUUCAAGUUUAAUGAGUGGGACUAAAACACAUUUAUAAGAUCCGGACCACAUACAAGAAGGUAAAACAAGGUAAAUUGAUGGUAAAAGGUAAAUAGAAGGUGAUAGACGUCACUUAAAAAUAAAAUAAGUAAAGUAAAGCAAGUAAAUAAUGAAUAUAUAAGGUAAAAGAAGGAAUUAAAAGGUAAAAUAAGUAAAUAUAAGGUAAAUAUUGUUAAAAUACAUAAUUGAAAGUAACAGAAGUAUAUCGAAGAUAAAAUAAGGUAAUUAAAAGGGUUAAAAAGUUAUUUAAAAGGUUAAAAAAAAGUAGAUAAAAGAUCAAAUAAGAUAAGUGAAAGGUGCAAAUAGUAAAUCAAAAGUAAACUAGAAUAAAAUAGUAUGGACUUUAUUGUCAUAUUUGCAUAUAAUGAGAUUAAGGACUCCAACUUAACAAAUAUGGAAGAAAAAAUAAAUAAAACUAAGAUAAGUAGAAGGUAAAAUAAGGCAAUUAAAAGGAAAACAGUAAAUUAAAGGUAAAAAGAUAGAAGGUAAUAAAAGCUAAUUAUAAGAUACAAUUUGUUAAAAGGUAAAAGAAGGUAAAUAGAAGAUACAAGUAAGAAAUAAAAGGUAAAAGAAGGUCAAUAGAAGAUACAAAUAGUAAAUAAAAGGUAAAAGAAGGUAAAUAUAAGAUUAAGGCAGUAAAUAAAAGGUAAAAGUUGUAAAUAAAGGUAAAUAGAAAGAACAAGUUGUAAAUAAAAGGUGAAUAGAAGGUGAUUGACGUGACUUAAAAAUAAAAUAAGUAAAUAAUGAAUAUAGAAGGUAAAAGAAGGAAUUAAAAGGUAAAAUAAGUAAAUAUAAUAUAAAAUAAGGUAAAUAUUGGUAAAAUACAUAAUUAAAAGUAACAAGUAUAUGGAAGAUAAAAUAAGGUAAUUAAAAGGGUUAAAAAAGUAAUAAAAAGGUAAAAAAACAAGUAGAUUGAAGAUAAAAUAAGAUAAUUGAAAUGUGCAAAUAGUCAAUAAAAAGUAGACUACAAUAGAAUAGAAUGGACUUUAUUGUCAUUAUAUUUGCAGAUAACGAGAUUAAGGACUCCAACUUAACAAAUAUGGAAGAAAAAAUAAGUAAAACUAAGAUACGUAGAUGGUAAAAUAAGGCAAUUAAAAGGAAAACAGUAAAUUAAAGGUAAAAAGAUAGAAGGUAAUAAAAGCUAAUUAUAAGAUACAAUUUGUUAAAAGGUAAAAGAAGGUAAAUAGAAGAUACAAGUAAGAAAUAAAAGGUAAAAGAAGGUCAAUAGAAGAUACAAAUAGUAAAUAAAAGGUAAAAGAAGGUAAAUAUAAGAUUAAGGCAGUAAAUAAAAUGUAAAAGUUGUAAAUAAAGGUAAAUAGAAAGAACAAGUUGUAAAUAAAAGGUAAAUAGAAGGUGAUUGACGUCACUUAAAAAUAAAAUAAAGAAAAGUAAGUAAAAUAAUGAAUAUAGAAGGUACAAGAAGAAAUUAAAAGGUAAAAUAAGUAAAUACAAUAUAAAAUAAGGUAAAUAUUGGUAAAUUACGUAAUUAAAAGGAAAACAGUAAAUUAAAGGUAAAAGAAGAUAGAAGGUAAUAAAAGCUAAUUAUAAGAUAAAAUUUGUUAAAAGGUAAAAGAAGGUAAAUAGAAGAUACAAGUAAGAAAUAAAAGGUAAAAGAAGGUCACUAGAAGAUACAAGUAGUAAAUAAAAGGUAAAAGAAGGUCAAUAUAAGAUUAAGGCAGUAAAUAAAAGGUAAACGUUGUAAAUAAAGGUAAAUAGAAAGAACAAGUUGUAAAUAAAAGGUAAAUAGAAGGUGAUUGACGUCACUUAAAAAUAAAAUAAAGAAAAGUAAGUAAAAUAAUGAAUAUAGAAGGUACAAGAAGAAAUUAAAAGGUAAAAUAAGUAAAUACAAUAUAAAAUAAGGUAAAUAUUGGUAAAUUACGUAAUUAAAAGGAAAACAGUAAAUUAAAGGUAAAAGAUAGAAGGUAAUAAAAGCUAAUUAUAAGAUAACAUUUGUUAAAAGGUAAAAGAAGGUAAAUAGAAGAUACAAGUAAGAAAUAAAAGGUAAAAGAAGGUCACUAGAAGAUACAAGUAGUAAAUAAAAGGUAAAAGAAGGUAAAUAUAAGAUUAAGGCAGUAAAUAAAAGGUAAACGUUGUAAAUAAAGGUAAAUAGAAAGAACAAGUUGUAAAUAAAAGGUAAAUAGAAGGUGAUUGACGUCACUUAAAAAUAAAAUAAAGAAAAGUAAGUAAAAUAAUGAAUAUAGAAGGUACAAGAAGAAAUUAAAAGGUAAAAUAAGUAAAUACAAUAUAAAAUAAGGUAAAUAUUGGUAAAUUACGUAAUUAAAAGGUAAAAGUAAAAAGAAGAUAACAUAAGGUAAAAAAAAGGUAACACAAUUAAGAGGGAACAGAAGUAUAUCUAAAAUAAAAUAAGGUAAUUAAAAGGUAAAAAAAAGUAGAUAGAAGGUAAUUGAAAGGGGCAGAUAGUAAAUCAAAAGUAAACUAGAAUAGAAUAGAAUGGACUUUAUUGUCAUUAUAUUUGCAUAUAACGAGAUUAAGGACUUCAAUUUAAGGUGCGGUAGUGGAAACAAAUAUGGAAUAAAAAUAAAUAAAACUAAGAUAAGUAGGAGGUAAAAUAAGGCAAUUAAAAGGAAAACAUAGUAAAUUAAAGGUAAAAGAAGAUAGAAGGUAAUAAAAGCUAAUUAUAAGGUAAAAUGUGUUAAAUAAAAGGUAAAAGAAGGUAAAUAGAAGAUACAAGUAAGAAAUAAAAGGUAAAAGAAGGUAAAUAUAAGGUUAAGGCAGUAAAUAAAAGGUAAAAGUUGUAAAUAAAAGGUAAAUAGAAAGAACAAGUUGUAAAUAAAAGGUAAAUAGAAGAUAAAAUAAGGAAAAUAAAAAGUAAAAAAAAGUAGGUAGAAAAGUAAAUAGAGGAUAAAAAGGGUAAUUGAAAGGUGCAAGUAGUAAAUUAAAGGUAAUCUAUCCCUGCGAUGAGGUGGCGACUUGUCCCGGGUGUAACCCGCCUUCCGCCCAAUUGUAGCUGAGAUAGGCUCCAGCACCCUCCGCGACCCCAAAAGGGAGAAGCGGUAGAAAAUGGAUGGAUGGAUUAAAAGUAAACUAAGAUAAGUAAAAGGUAAUGAAAGGUAAGUAGAAGGUAAAAUAAGGCUUUUAAAGGUAAACAUAGUAAAUAAAAGGUAAAAGAAAAUAGAUAGAAGGUAAUAAAAGGUAAGUAUAUGGUGAAAUUGCUUAAAAGGUAAAAGAAGGUAAAUAAAAGAUAAAAGUA